RNAcentral lists this ribosomal RNA (374 nucleotides) under uncultured organism. Its description in RNAcentral is "partial 16S ribosomal RNA". It matches the Rfam family "Bacterial small subunit ribosomal RNA", at positions 527 to 896 of the family's 1533-position model. The record is from RNAcentral.
GUAGGUGGCAAGCGUUGUCCGGAAUUAUUGGGCGUAAAGCGCGCGCAGGCGGUUCUUUAAGUCUGAUGUGAAAGCCCACGGCUCAACCGUGGAGGGUCAUUGGAAACUGGAGAACUUGAGUACAGAAGAGGAAAGCGGAAUUCCACGUGUAGCGGUGAAAUGCGUAGAGAUGUGGAGGAACACCAGUGGCGAAGGCGGCUUUCUGGUCUGUAACUGACGCUGAGGCGCGAAAGCGUGGGGAGCAAACAGGGAUUAGAUACCCUGGUAGUCCACGCCGUAAACGAUGAGUGCUAAGUGUUAGGGGGGGUUUCCGCCCCCUUAGUGCUGCAGCUAACGCAUUAAGCACUCCGCCUGGGGAUACGGCUGCAAGGCUG